UACGUAGGUGGCGAGCGUUGUCCGGAUUUAUUGGGUUUAAAGGGUGCGUAGGCGGCCCUGUAAGUCAGUGCUGAAAUAUCACAGCUUAACUGUGAGGGUGGCAUUGAUACUGCGGGGCUUGAGUACAGAUGAAGUAGGCGGAAUUGACGGUGUAGCGGUGAAAUGCAUAGAUAUCGUCAAGAACACCGAUAGCGCAGGCAGCUUACUAAGUUGUAACUGACGCUGAGGCACGAAAGUGUGGGGAUCAAACAGG
RNAcentral lists this ribosomal RNA (253 nucleotides) under uncultured bacterium. RNAcentral's name for it is "partial 16S ribosomal RNA". It matches the Rfam family "Bacterial small subunit ribosomal RNA", at positions 524 to 776 of the family's 1533-position model. The record is from RNAcentral.